UGUCUGGCGGCUUUAGCGCGGUGGUCCCACCUGACCCCAUGCCGAACUCAGAAGUGAAACGCCGUAGCGCCGAUGGUAGUGUGGGGUCUCCCCAUGCGAGAGUAGGGAACUGCCAGACAU
RNAcentral lists this ribosomal RNA (120 nucleotides) under Enterobacteriaceae bacterium ATCC 29904. Lineage: Bacteria; Pseudomonadati; Pseudomonadota; Gammaproteobacteria; Enterobacterales; Enterobacteriaceae. The record is from RNAcentral.